This 423-nucleotide ribosomal RNA is filed under the name uncultured bacterium. Its description in RNAcentral is "bacterial SSU rRNA". It matches the Rfam family "Bacterial small subunit ribosomal RNA", at positions 207 to 622 of the family's 1533-position model. The record is from RNAcentral.
CAAGACCUGCGCUUUUGGAGCGGCCGAUGCCUGAUUAGCUUGUUGGUAAGGUAAAAGCUUACCAAGGCUUCGAUCAGUAGCUGGUCUGAGAGGACGGCCAGCCACACUGGGACUGAGACACGGCCCAGACUCCUACGGGAGGCAGCAGUGGGGAAUUUUGGACAAUGGGGGCAACCCUGAUCCAGCCAUGCCGCGUGAGUGAAGAAGGCCUUCGGGUUGUAAAGCUCUUUCAGCCGGAACGAAACGGUUACGGUUAAUACCCGUGAUUACUGACGGUACCGGAAGAAGAAGCACCGGCUAACUACGUGCCAGCAGCCGCGGUAAUACGUAGGGUGCGAGCGUUAAUCGGAAUUACUGGGCGUAAAGCGUGCGCAGGUGGUUUUGUAAGUCAGAUGUGAAAGCCCUGGGCUCAACCUGGGAACU